UACGUAGGUGGCAAGCGUUGUCCGGAAUUAUUGGGCGUAAGCGCGCGCAGGCGGUCCCUUAAGUCUGAUGUGAAAGCCCACGGCUCAACCGUGGAGGGUCAUUGGAAACUGGGGGACUUGAGUGCAGAAGAGGAAAGUGGAAUUCCAUGUGUAGCGGUGAAAUGCGUAGAGAUGUGGAGGAACACCAGUGGCGAAGGCGACUUUCUGGUCUGUAACUGACGCUGAGGCGCGAAAGCGUGGGGAGCAAACAGG
Molecule: ribosomal RNA, 252 nt
Filed under: uncultured bacterium
Lineage: Bacteria
Description: partial 16S ribosomal RNA
Rfam family: Bacterial small subunit ribosomal RNA
Source: RNAcentral